This 200-nucleotide ribosomal RNA is filed under the name uncultured bacterium. RNAcentral's name for it is "partial 16S ribosomal RNA". It matches the Rfam family "Bacterial small subunit ribosomal RNA", at positions 28 to 220 of the family's 1533-position model. The record is from RNAcentral.
GACGAACGCUGGCGGCGUGCUUAACACAUGCAAGUCGAGCGGGGUCCAUCCAGUGGCAACACUGGUGAAGACCUAGCGGCGAACGGGUGAGUAACACGUGAGAAACCUGCCCUGAACUCUGGGAUAACCCGAGGAAACUCGAGCUAAUACCGGAUGCCCCCACCGAGUCGCAUGGCUUGGUGAGGAAAGAUUUAUCGGUU